UUCACUUACCCGACAACAACGAGAUAUUAAGUUGCUAUUUGCUCGGAGGUGUCUCUAGCUAUUCCUACUAUCCGGUCGCUUGUUAUUUCCUCCAACGCGCCACUAUAGUGCACUACCUUUACUUUGACACUUCCUAGCAACAAUCUAAACUCAACAUAUUUAAUUAUAUAGGCAUAUGGCAGCACUUAAAUCAAUUAGUCCUUAAUCUAAUUCACAUUUUUCAUCCUCAUCAUUCACUUAUUAUUACUAUUACCAUUAUUAUUUUAAAACUAACUAAAUCUAUUAUUGAUUUUCUUACUAUUGAUAUUUACCUUCAUAUAUUGUACUUACACUAAUUUUCAUAUUUUAAAUAUUAACUAAUAAUUCUAUAACAUUUAUACCAAAUAAUUCAACUUAUUCUAUAUCAUUCUAUCACAUAUUCAAACCAAUGAAUUGAACUAAACCCAAACAACAUACUUCAUAAUGGAUCCAUAAAAAAAAUGCUUGAUUUUAAAUUUUACCUCACUUGGGCUCAGAUGCUAAGCCAAGUAAAAAAUUGCAGCCCACCGGACCUUCCUUGCCAAAUGUAUUGUUGGAGGCCCAAAGGAAUAAUUAUUAUUUGUUUAUUUAUUUAUUAUUUUUUUCCUUUCUUACACUCACAAGUCGGCCACAAUUUCCUCCUCUCUUUCUCUCACCGUCGGUAGAAAUUUUUUGCUCCUUUCAACCACAAAAAUCAGCAGCCAAAGCUGGUCAUCUCAGCCUCAAAAAUCAGCAGCCGAAGCUGCUUAUUUCACCCUCAAAACCAGCAACCAAAACCUCAAAAAUCAGUAGCCAAAGCUGCUCAUUUCAGCCUUCAAAAUUAGCAGCCAAAGCUACUCAUCUCACCCUCAAUACUGACAGCUAAAGCCUUCAUUUACUCCCUCACAAACCCAAUAGCACUAGCCCUUGUUUUCC
This 933-nucleotide long non-coding RNA is filed under the name Theobroma cacao (cacao). RNAcentral's name for it is "long non-coding RNA (TCAC_LNC001111)". Lineage: Eukaryota; Viridiplantae; Streptophyta; Magnoliopsida; Malvales; Malvaceae. The record is from RNAcentral.